This 458-nucleotide ribosomal RNA is filed under the name uncultured bacterium. RNAcentral describes it as "partial 16S ribosomal RNA". It matches the Rfam family "Bacterial small subunit ribosomal RNA", at positions 338 to 795 of the family's 1533-position model. The record is from RNAcentral.
CCUACGGGUGGCAGCAGUGAGGAAUAUUGGUCCAUGGGCGAGAGCCUGAACCAGCCAAGUCGCGUGAGGGAGUACUGCCCUAUGGGUUGUAAACCUCUUUUGUCGGGGAGCAAAAGCCGGACGUGUCCGGCUGUGAGAGUACCCGACGAAAAAGCAUCGGCUAACUCCGUGCCAGCAGCCGCGGUAAUACGGAGGAUGCGAGCGUUAUCCGGAUUUAUUGGGUUUAAAGGGUGCGCAGGCGGAUUUUUAAGUCAGCGGUAAAAUCGUGGGGCUCAACCCCAUCCAGCCGUUGAAACUGGGGAUCUAGAGUGUGCGAGAGGUAUGCGGAAGGCGUGGUGUAGCGGUGAAAUGCAUAGAUAUCACGCAGAACCCCGAUUGCGAAGGCAGCAUACCGGUGCACAACUGACGCUCAGGCACGAAAGCGUGGGUAUCGAACAGGAUUAGAUACCCCUGUAGUC